UACGGAGGGUGCGAGCGUUGUCCGGAAUCAUUGGGCGUAAAGGGCUCGUAGGCGGUUUGUCGCGUCGGGAGUGAAAACCCCGGGCUUAACUCGGGGCUUGCUUUCGAUACGGGCAGACUAGAGGUAUGCAGGGGAGAACGGAAUUCCUGGUGUAGCGGUGAAAUGCGCAGAUAUCAGGAGGAACACCGGUGGCGAAGGCGGUUCUCUGGGCAUGAUCUGACGCUGAGGAGCGAAAGUGUGGGGAGCGAACAGG
Molecule: ribosomal RNA, 253 nt
Filed under: uncultured bacterium
Lineage: Bacteria
Description: partial 16S ribosomal RNA
Rfam family: Bacterial small subunit ribosomal RNA
Source: RNAcentral